UAAAGGUGCAUGAGUGGUAUUUGGUUUGAUACGGGUGGUUGGCUCCCUGCUUGAGCAGGCACAACCWCGCGUGCAUUCCUUUUCAGUUGUUCGACAAGGCUUGUAUCGUCUUGAUCGUAUWAGCGGGUUUCUUGUGUUGCAUACCUGAUCAAUGGCAUCGUUACGAUCAAAAUUAUUUCAUUUUCGUCUAUGAAUGCACCCGCAUUGUUAGAUGAACUGAGUAGCAUUCUCUUUGAUCCAUACAGUUGACGUGCAUUCGUUGAUUGUUUGGCUCAUUGAGUAAUGACUUGGUCUCUUGGAUAUGGAAGCCAAAGUGGGCAUGGGUUCGUAAGUUCCUUUUUUUGCCCUCAUUGAGCGUUCUCGCUUCUCUUACACGACCGCCUUUCACGUAUGGCACGUCCCAGCGUGUUUGGCUACGUCGAAGAGGAAUGC
Molecule: unclassified non-coding RNA, 432 nt
Filed under: Pentachaeta exilis
Lineage: Eukaryota; Viridiplantae; Streptophyta; Magnoliopsida; Asterales; Asteraceae
Description: partial external transcribed spacer
Source: RNAcentral